GGGCUAAAUAAUUAAGGAUAAUGAGUUCAAAAGGCAAAUGCUUUGGUUCGCGCUAUCUUUUAAAGAUUCCUAGUAAUCCAAUGAGAAUAAAAAAAUAUGACGGUGUUUGGCUAAACGCACUAAGUAAUCUAGUUGAUAAUAUUGGAUUUACUUGGGAAUAAGAUUCACCCCAAAGUACUAAUCUCAUUCCCUUGAGGGAGGGUGGGUAUCCUCAUAUUAAUGGAUUGGGGGGGUAAUUAUAAUAUGUCUAAUCUCUUUCUUUCUUCUUACCCGCCGGCUAAUUGAUAUUAUUUUUCUUUAUACUCUAACCUUAUAUCUCUCUCUAAACUUAUUUUUCUCUCUAAAAUUCAACUUUUUCUCUCUCUCUAAACUAAGCUUUCUCUUUCUCUCUCUUUCUAAAAUUUCAACUCUCUCACUCCCUCUAAUUUCGACUAUAUUUUUCUUUCUAUUUUUUUAAAACUUUUGGUAACAUUAUAUAAAAUUAAUUAAACAAAUUAAUUAAUUAAUUGUAUAUUUUUUGUAAUAUUAAAUAAUAUGGCUAAUUAAUAUUACCGCGCGAACCAAACACAGGAAUUCCACAUUCUUAGUAAUAGAAUGAAUUGGAAUAAGAUUCUCGGAUAUCUUUUAUUCCUAAUAAUUUUUUAUAAUGCGAACCA
RNAcentral lists this long non-coding RNA (656 nucleotides) under Ananas comosus (pineapple). RNAcentral's name for it is "long non-coding RNA (ACOM_LNC034274)". Lineage: Eukaryota; Viridiplantae; Streptophyta; Magnoliopsida; Poales; Bromeliaceae. The record is from RNAcentral.